CUGUGUGAAGAAUGGACCUUAGCAGGUCAAGAGAGGGGAAGAGAGCCCAGCCGGGAGGCUCCUGCAAUGUCCAGGCACACGGAAGGCUGUUCAGCAGAGAUGAGCAGAUGAUGAAGAAGAUUCAGAGAGGUCAAACUACUUGCCUAUGGACACUGACUGGGCUCUCUGCCUGGUGAACUCCGACUCCGCAGCGUGUGCACAGCCUCGGCUGGAGCCGCAGGGAGCAGGUGUUGGAGCAUCGCAGGUGUUGGAGCAUCACAGGACUGCCCCGGGUUUAGUCCUGAAAAUCCUGCAUCCCAAGAAACCCCUCGGUCCUGGGCAACCCGGGACAGUUGGUUGCCCUCCAAGCCUCACGUGUGUUAUCUCCUGGGGCCUCAGGAUCCCCUGAGGCAGCUGAAGUCAUGGGUCACCGCCCCACUUCACAGGUGUGGACAGCAAGGCUCAGGAACUUAUUCAGGAAACAAGGACUUCCGGAGAGCCUGCUUCAAGUCAGGCCCUGGGCUGGGCUCUGAGGACUCGGUGAGGAACAGCAGACGCAGCCCCUGCCUUCACAGAGCUGGCACUCCAGCGGGAGGGACAGACACAGCCUGUCAAAUAGAGACGGAAGGAUUUGGCAGCAGCUAUGUCAGUACCACGAAGGAGGAUGGGAGCUGGUGUGGUAGGCCUCAGACCUGGUCUAGGGGGACCCCCAGAAGUGUGUUUCAGCCGAGAUCCCCAGGAGGACAGGAAGCAGCCGGGAAGCACUAUGGGGUGGUGACUGGGCUGGCCCCUUUUGCUCGUGUGAGCACUCUGAGCC
This 796-nucleotide long non-coding RNA is filed under the name Equus caballus (horse). RNAcentral's name for it is "lncRNA (ENSECAG00000050776.1)". The record is from RNAcentral. Lineage: Eukaryota; Metazoa; Chordata; Mammalia; Perissodactyla; Equidae.